This 253-nucleotide ribosomal RNA is filed under the name uncultured bacterium. RNAcentral describes it as "partial 16S ribosomal RNA". It matches the Rfam family "Bacterial small subunit ribosomal RNA", at positions 524 to 776 of the family's 1533-position model. The record is from RNAcentral.
GACAGAGGGUGCAAACGUUGUUCGGAAUUACUGGGCGUAAAGCGAGUGUAGGCGGUUUGGAAAGUCGGAUGUGAAAGCCCCGGGCUCAACCCGGGAAGUGCACUCGAUACUCCCAAGCUAGAGUAUGGGAGAGGUUGGUGGAAUUCUCGGUGUAGAGGUGAAAUUCGUAGAUAUCGAGAGGAACACCGGUGGCGAAGGCGGCCAACUGGACCAAUACUGACGCUCAGGCACGAAAGCGUGGGGAGCAAACAGG